This 737-nucleotide ribosomal RNA is filed under the name uncultured bacterium. Its description in RNAcentral is "bacterial SSU rRNA". It matches the Rfam family "Bacterial small subunit ribosomal RNA", at positions 748 to 1488 of the family's 1533-position model. The record is from RNAcentral.
AUAGUACGGCGGCCAGUGUGUGGAAUCGGGCUUAUUAGAUACCCUGGUAGUCACCGCAGUAAACGAUGAAUACUCGUGGUCGGCCCCGAACGGGGGCUGCGCGGCCAAGCGAANAGCGUUAAGUAUUCCACCUGGGGAGUACGCGGGCAACGGUGAAACUCAAAGGAAUUGACGGGGGCCCGCACAAGCGGAGGAACAUGUGGUUUAUUCGAUGAUACGCGAGGAACCUUACCCGGCUCAAACGGACGAGGAAGCCGCGGGAAACGGCGGUGCCCCACGGGGCCCUGUCCGAGGUGCUGCAUGGUUGUCGUCAGCUCGUGCCGUGAGGUGUCGGCUUAAGUGCCAUAACGAGCGCAACCCNCCAUCGCCAGUUGCCAUCAAGUAAAGUUGGGGACUCUGGCGAGACUGCCGGCGCAAGCUGCGAGGAAGGCGGGGAUGACGUCAAAUCAGCACGGCCCUUACGUCCGGGGCGACACACGUGUUACAAUGGCAGGUACAGAGAGAGGCGACACGGCGACGUGGAGCGGAACUGAUAAAACCUGUCUCAGUUCGGAUCGGAGUCUGCAACCCGACUCCGUGAAGCUGGAUUCGCUAGUAAUCGCGCAUCAGCCAUGGCGCGGUGAAUACGUUCCCGGGCCUUGUACACACCGCCCGUCAAGCCAUGGAAGCCGGGGGUGCCUGAAGUGUGCGACCGCAAGGAGCGCCCUAGGGUAAAACCGGUGACUGGGGCUAAGUCG